UUUUUUUUUUUUUUUUUGAGACAGGGUCUCACUGUCUCCCAGGCUGGAGUGUAGUGGUGUGAUCAUGGCUCACUGCAGCCUCAGCCUCAUGGGUUUCAGAGAUCCUCCCACCUGAGCCUCCCAAGUAGCUGGGACCUCAGGUGUACAACACCAUGCCCAGCUAAUGUUUAAAAUUUUUUGCAGAGACAGGGCCUCCGUCUGUUGCUCAGGCUGGUCUGGAAUUCCUGGGUUCAAGUGAUUCUCCUGCUUCAUCCUCCCAAAGUGCUGUGAUUACAGGCAUGUGCCACUGCCUGGCCCCAUAUAAGUGGGAUGAUGACUUGAGCCUAGGAGUUCCACACCAGCCUGGGUAACAUGGUACAAGACCCUGUCUCUACAAAAACUAAAAAAAUUAACUGGGCAUGGUGGCACCUGCCUAUGGUCCCAGCUACUCCAGGAGGCUGAGGCAGGAGGAUAACUUGAGCCCAGGAGUCGAGGCUGCAGUGAGCUCUGAUCUUGUCAUUGCAUUCCAGACUGGGUGACAGAGUGAAACCUUGUCUCUUAAAAACAAUUACUGGCUACCUGAUUAUUCAUAGGAAAAAAACCUGAACUCUGAUCUAAACCUCAUACCUCGUACAAAAAUUAACUCAAAAUGGAUCAUGGACCAAAAUGUAAAAUGCAAAAUAAACAUGAAAAGAGGAGCUAGAGACUGGGAGAAACUAUUUGCAAACCACAUGUCUGAUAAAGGACUCAUAUUUAUAAUUUAUAAAGAACGAUCAAAAUUCAGCAGUGAAACCAAACCAUCUACUUUGAAAAUGAAUAAAAGACCAGAAGAGACAUUUCAGAUAACAUAUAAGCACAUGAAAAGAUGUUCAACGUCAUCAGCCAUCAGAAAAAUGCACACUAAAGCCAAGUCACUAUACAAGUGUCAGAAUGGCUAAAAUAAAAAGUAGUAACAAGACCAAUGCUGGUGAGGAUGCGGGGAAACGGGAUCACUUACACUUGGCUGGUGGGAAUGGAAGAUGGUACAGCCAUUCUGAAAAACAGUUUGACAGUUUCUUAAAAAAUAAACGUGCAAUUGCCGUAGGAUGCAGCACUCACAUUCAUGGGCGGUUAUCCCAGAGAAAUGAAGACUUAUGUUCACACAAAAGCCUCUAUGUAUCUGUUCAUAGCAGCAUUAUUUAUAAAGGCUAGAAACUGGAAACAGCCCAGAGACUGCUCAGCAGGUGAAUGGUUAAACAAACUGGUGCACCGAGGCCCCAGAUACCACUCUGCAGUAGUUAGUGACAUCCUUGUUCAUCAGUCUUUCAAACUAGAAACCACCAUCAUGCUUAAUCUCCUUUUUUCCAUCCUGGGUCUGAGUGGACUUCAUUUUGCAUUUCUUUCCAAUGCAUUUUCCCUCCGUCCUUUCUGGUUGCGCCUCAUGCCUCAUUUGGACUGUUGUAAGAGCCACCGAAUUGUUUCUCUGCCUCAUCAUGGAAUCCUUUCUACACUUCAUUCCCUGCAUUGCCAUUGGAACAAUCUUUCCAAAACAUGAACAAACUAACUUAAAAGAAAUAUCCCAGGUAGCCUUCCAAAUAAGUACAAGCUUUCUGUUAGAAGUUUGACUUCUUGUGUAUUGGGAACCCCAGGACUCUAGAGAGACGGAUUUGCUGUCUGCAUUUUAAGAUCAGGCAGAAAUCCUGGAGGGCCCAUGUGGAACAGUGGCACAAAUACUGGUUCUAGAAUCAGAAGCCCUCAUAUCCUGGUUCUAAUUCUAGCUGGAUGUUCUUGGGAAAGUUUUGGUUUCAUAACCUCAGAAACUCCAUUUCUUAAGAAAUGGAGAUGAGGAAGCAUACUCAAGGGAUCACACAAGGCUGCUGGGAGGAGCGGAUGAGGGCAUGGUGAAAAUGCUGUGUAAUCCGUGAAGCACGUCGUAUGUGUGAGAAGUGGAGCUGUGUGGAUAGCGGUUCUGGAAUCAUUGUAUGAAAACAAUGGAAAGUACAUUCGUAGUUCUGCCUGAUGAUACCACUGAGAGCCUGUGUUGUACAUGCCUGCAACAUGGGCGAGGCCCGGGUCAGUACAGCUCACAGUUUGGUUCUCAUGCAGUUUGAAAGGCCCGAGAGGACCCUUCCCCACUCCAGCUGUAGGAAGGAGGCCGCUGUCUCCUGCCUAUAUUUGGUGUGAUUUUCUCUGGCUCCUUGGGGACAGGAAUGCAGGGAGUGGGGAAGAAAGCCGCCUGACUGCUCGCUAGUCAGCCUUCCCCAGGGAGGAGG
Molecule: long non-coding RNA, 2231 nt
Organism: Macaca fascicularis (crab-eating macaque)
Lineage: Eukaryota; Metazoa; Chordata; Mammalia; Primates; Cercopithecidae
Source: Ensembl